This 392-nucleotide ribosomal RNA is filed under the name uncultured bacterium. Its description in RNAcentral is "partial 16S ribosomal RNA". It matches the Rfam family "Bacterial small subunit ribosomal RNA", at positions 28 to 429 of the family's 1533-position model. The record is from RNAcentral.
GACGAACGCUGGCGGCACGCCUAACACAUGCAAGUCGAACGCCCCCUUUCGGGGGGAGUGGCGGACGGGUGAGUAACGCGUGGGAACCUGCCCCGUCGGUGGGGGACGAACCCAGGGAAACCGUGGGCUGAUACCGCAUAAGCCCAGUGGCCGUAGUGGCCAUUGGGGAAAGAUUUAUCGCCACGGGAUGGGCCCGCGUCGGAUUAGGUAGUUGGUGGGGUAACGGCCCACCAAGCCUGCGAUCCGUAGCUGGUCUGAGAGGACGAUCAGCCACACUGGGACUGAGACACGGCCCAGACUCCUACGGGAGGCAGCAGUGGGGAAUCUUGGACAAUGGGGGAAACCCUGAUCCAGCGAUGCCGCGUGAGCGAAGAAGGCCUUAGGGUUGUAAA